This 511-nucleotide ribosomal RNA is filed under the name Candida albicans. RNAcentral describes it as "eukaryotic LSU rRNA". The stretch from base 144 to 297 matches the Rfam family "5.8S ribosomal RNA". Lineage: Eukaryota; Fungi; Ascomycota; Pichiomycetes; Serinales; Debaryomycetaceae. The record is from RNAcentral.
AAAAAUGAAUUGCUUAAUUGCACCACAUGUGUUUUUCUUUGAAACAAACUUGCUUUGGCGGUGGGCCCAGCCUGCCGCCAGAGGUCUAAACUUACAACCAAUUUUUUAUCAACUUGUCACACCAGAUUAUUACUAAUAGUCAAAACUUUCAACAACGGAUCUCUUGGUUCUCGCAUCGAUGAAGAACGCAGCGAAAUGCGAUACGUAAUAUGAAUUGCAGAUAUUCGUGAAUCAUCGAAUCUUUGAACGCACAUUGCGCCCUCUGGUAUUCCGGAGGGCAUGCCUGUUUGAGCGUCGUUUCUCCCUCAAACCGCUGGGUUUGGUGUUGAGCAAUACGACUUGGGUUUGCUUGAAAGACGGUAGUGGUAAGGCGGGAUCGCUUUGACAAUGGCUUAGGUCUAACCAAAAACAUUGCUUGCGGCGGUAACGUCCACCACGUAUAUCUUCAAACUUUGACCUCAAAUCAGGUAGGACUACCCGCUGAACUUAAGCAUAUCAAUAAGCGGAGGAA